GCCGGUCUAGCUCAAUUGGUAGAGCGCAACUGACUUGUAAUCAGUAGGUUGGGGGUUCAAGUCCUCUGGCCGGCACCA
This 78-nucleotide transfer RNA is filed under the name Radiobacillus deserti. RNAcentral's name for it is "Bacillaceae bacterium TKL69 tRNA-Thr". It matches the Rfam family "tRNA". From Rfam's summary of the family: Transfer RNA (tRNA) molecules are approximately 80 nucleotides in length. Their secondary structure includes four short double-helical elements and three loops (D, anti-codon, and T loops). Further hydrogen bonds mediate the characteristic L-shaped molecular structure. tRNAs have two regions of fundamental functional importance: the anti-codon, which is responsible for specific mRNA codon recognition, and the 3' end, to which the tRNAs corresponding amino acid is attached (by aminoacyl-tRNA synthetases). tRNAs cope with the degeneracy of the genetic code in two manners: having more than one tRNA (with a specific anti-codon) for a particular amino acid; and 'wobble' base-pairing, i.e. permitting non-standard base-pairing at the 3rd anti-codon position. Lineage: Bacteria; Bacillati; Bacillota; Bacilli; Caryophanales; Bacillaceae. The record is from RNAcentral.